RNAcentral lists this ribosomal RNA (203 nucleotides) under uncultured bacterium. RNAcentral's name for it is "partial 16S ribosomal RNA". It matches the Rfam family "Bacterial small subunit ribosomal RNA", at positions 1298 to 1500 of the family's 1533-position model. The record is from RNAcentral.
UUGCAGGCUGCAACCCGCCUGCAUGAAGUUGGAAUCGCUAGUAAUCGCGGAUCAGCAUGCCGCGGUGAAUACGUUCCCGGGCCUUGUACACACCGCCCGUCACACCAUGAGAGUCGGGAACACCCGAAGUCCGUAGCCUAACCGCAAGGGGGGCGCGGCCGAAGGUGGGUUCGAUAAUUGGGGUGAAGUCGUAACAAGGUACC